RNAcentral lists this ribosomal RNA (513 nucleotides) under uncultured bacterium. RNAcentral's name for it is "partial 16S ribosomal RNA". It matches the Rfam family "Bacterial small subunit ribosomal RNA", at positions 28 to 523 of the family's 1533-position model. The record is from RNAcentral.
GACGAACGCUGGCGGCAUGCCUAAUACAUGCAAGUCGAGCGAACAGAUGAAGUGCUUGCACUUCUGACGUUAGCGGCGAACGGGUGAGUAACACGUAAGGAAUCUACCUAUAAGCGGGGGAUAACAUUCGGAAACGGGUGCUAAUACCGCAUAAUAUCUUCUUCCGCAUGGAAGAAGAUUGAAAGACGGCUCUGCUGUCACUUAUAGAUGACCUUGCGGUGCAUUAGUUAGUUGGUGGGGUAAUGGCCUACCAAGACGAGGAUGCAUAUCCGGCCUGAGAGGGUGAUCGGCCACAUUGGGACUGAGACACGGCCCAAACUCCUACGGGAGGCAGCAGUAGGGAAUCUUCCGCAAUGGGCGAAAGCCUGACGAAGCAAUGCCGCGUGAGUGAAGAAGGCCUUCGGGUCGUAAAACUCUGUUAUAAGAGAAGAACAAAUUGUAGAGUAACUGCUACAGUCUUGACGGUAUCUUAUCAGAAAGCCAUGGCUAACUACGUGCCAGCAGCCGCCGUAA